RNAcentral lists this ribosomal RNA (250 nucleotides) under uncultured bacterium. RNAcentral describes it as "partial 16S ribosomal RNA". It matches the Rfam family "Bacterial small subunit ribosomal RNA", at positions 524 to 773 of the family's 1533-position model. The record is from RNAcentral.
UACGGAGGGUGCAAGCGUUGUUCGGAAUUAUUGGGCGUAAAGCGCGUGUAGGCGGCCAAAUAAGUCUGGUGUGAAAGCCCAGAGCUUAACUCUGGAAGAGCACUGGAUACUGUUUGGCUAGAGGACGAGAGAGGAAAGUGGAGUUCCUGGUGUAGGGGUGAAAUCCGUAGAUAUCAGGAGGAACAUCGGUGGCGAAGGCGACUUUCUGGCUCGUUUCUGACGCUCAGACGCGAAAGCGUGGGGAGCAAAC